GAUGAAGAACGCAGCGAAAUGCGAUAAGUAAUGCGAAUUGCAGAUUUCAGUGAGUCAUCGAAUCUUUGAACGCACAUUGCGCCCGCCAGUAUUCUGGCGGGCAUGCCUGUUCGAGCGUCAUUUCAACCAUCAAGCCCCCGGGCUUGCGUUGGGGCCCUGCGGCUGCCGCAGGCCCCGAAAAGCAGUGGCGGGCUCGCUGUCACACCGAGCGCAGUAGCGAUUCUCGCUCCGGGCGUCGGCGGCGGGCACCGGCCGUGGAACCCCCCCACAUCCACAAGGUUGACCUCGGAUCAGGUAGGAAUACCCGCUGAACUUAAGCAUAUCAAUAAGCGGAGGA
RNAcentral lists this unclassified non-coding RNA (337 nucleotides) under soil metagenome. Its description in RNAcentral is "partial contains 5.8S ribosomal RNA, internal transcribed spacer 2, and large subunit ribosomal RNA". The stretch from base 1 to 120 matches the Rfam family "5.8S ribosomal RNA", at positions 35 to 154 of the family's 154-position model. The record is from RNAcentral.